GGACGUGAGGUUGAUCUGGCUGAGAAAUCUGUUACCCCUUUGAAAGCCAGGGUUGAUUUGGCUGAUGUGGCUAGCUAGGCAGGUGCCUCUUCAUCUUUCACCACCCCAUGAACAUUCCUGAAAGCUGCAUCAUAGGUCAAAGAGGAUGACCUUUCCAGAAUAGAGGAGGAGUGGUCUUCCGUCAAGGAUAUACAUAUCAGAAGCUGCACUUCCCCACUAGAAUAUCCAAACAAGCUCUCCAAAGGGCAAAUGCCACAUAUUGCCUCUCAUGUGCAUAUCCUAUUUCAACUUUUAGAUUUGUAUGUAAGUUGCAAUA
Molecule: small nuclear RNA, 316 nt
Filed under: Jaculus jaculus (lesser Egyptian jerboa)
Lineage: Eukaryota; Metazoa; Chordata; Mammalia; Rodentia; Dipodidae
Description: 7SK RNA (ENSJJAG00000009322.1)
Rfam family: 7SK RNA
About the family: 7SK was discovered as an abundant small nuclear RNA in the mid-70s but a possible function has only recently been suggested.
Source: Rfam by way of RNAcentral